ACCAUGCAAGUCGAGCGGAUGACGGGAGCUUGCUCCUUGAUUCAGCGGCGGACGGGUGAGUAAUGCCUAGGAAUCUGCCUGGUAGUGGGGGACAACGAUUUCAAAGGAACGCUAAUACCGCAUACGUCCUACGGGAGAAAGCAGGGGACCUUCGGGCCUUGCGCUAUCAGAUGAGCCUAGGUCGGAUUAGCUAGUUGGUGGGGUAAUGGCUCACCAAGGCGACGAUCCGUAACUGGUCUGAGAGGAUGAUCAGUCACACUGGAACUGAGACACGGUCCAGACUCCUACGGGAGGCAGCAGUGGGGAAUAUUGGACAAUGGGCGAAAGCCUGAUCCAGCCAUGCCGCGUGUGUGAAGAAGGUCUUCCGAUUGUAAACACUUUAAGUUGGGAGGAAGGGCAGGAAGUUAAUACC
This 412-nucleotide ribosomal RNA is filed under the name Pseudomonas putida. RNAcentral describes it as "bacterial SSU rRNA". It matches the Rfam family "Bacterial small subunit ribosomal RNA", at positions 53 to 465 of the family's 1533-position model. Lineage: Bacteria; Pseudomonadati; Pseudomonadota; Gammaproteobacteria; Pseudomonadales; Pseudomonadaceae. The record is from RNAcentral.